CGCACGCACCGGCUCCACUCCUUCUCCCCUGCCUCUCCCUACCCAGGCUCCACCUCCCAGUGCUGACAUCGCUAUUCUCCAUUGGCAACCACAUCGCAGUAGUCCAAUCCACAGCGUAGUCCAAUCCGCGUCGGGGUGUGGGAGCUGCGGCCGCGGAGGGGUCAGACGAGGCGGCGAAGCUGGUGGGCUCGCUGCUGCGGAGGACAGCCGACGGCAAGGAGCGGUUGGUGUCGGUGCUGGACAGCCUCCAUGAACCCGCUUGAAGAUAGUUGCUCCAAUCGGUCACAUCUCAAGUCUAUGCAAUGUUCAAGGUAAUAUAUUAUUUGGAGCUGCUGCUUAUCGUGACAUUAUUUGGAAGUACGAGUUUUACUACCCAAAAGAGAAAUUGAAGAAGUUGUAGAAAAAGAAAUCAUCAACAUCUACUGAAGAAAAGAAGUUGUCAAGGAUAAGAUUUGAUGGUGUGCUCUGUAACUCUUCAUCAAGAUUGCUAACACAAAUGAGUACAUUGAUGGACAACUCUGGAAAUCUGGUUGAGAUUCUGACCAGGCAACACCUUGCUGCAGUGAAGUGCUAGAACAGCCGUCGACGACUUGACCUAGACACGCGUGUAUCCAGCAGAUCCUGCAUGUGUGCGCGUGUAUCUUCGGCCAGCACUCAACAGCUCCUGCGUGCGUACGAAAGAAAUGGAUGGCGCUAGUGCUCCUACGUGCGUGCGUGUGUCAGCUGGGUGCGUGCGUGCGUGUGUCAGCUGGGUGCGUGCGUGCGUGUGUCAGCUGGGUGCGUGCGUGCGUGUGUCAGCGGCUCCUGGGUGCGUGCGUGCGUGUGAAAUAUGUGGACGGCUGGAUUUGAAGUUUUCAGGGAGCAUGCCAAUAUAACCUAGAUAUUAUAUAUAUGGAUGUAGGCCUGGAUGUACAUGAAUGUUA
Molecule: long non-coding RNA, 923 nt
Organism: Zea mays
Lineage: Eukaryota; Viridiplantae; Streptophyta; Magnoliopsida; Poales; Poaceae
Exons: 4
Source: RefSeq, a predicted model, not a curated record